GGAGGUAUAGCUCAGUGGUAGAUCAUUUGACUGCAGAUCAAGAGGUCCCUGGUUCAAAUCUGGGUGCCCACU
Molecule: transfer RNA, 72 nt
Filed under: Astyanax mexicanus (Mexican tetra)
Lineage: Eukaryota; Metazoa; Chordata; Actinopteri; Characiformes; Acestrorhamphidae
Rfam family: tRNA
About the family: Transfer RNA (tRNA) molecules are approximately 80 nucleotides in length.
Source: Rfam by way of RNAcentral